This 2920-nucleotide ribosomal RNA is filed under the name Salmonella enterica subsp. enterica serovar Kentucky. RNAcentral's name for it is "bacterial LSU rRNA". It matches the Rfam family "Bacterial large subunit ribosomal RNA". The record is from RNAcentral. Lineage: Bacteria; Pseudomonadati; Pseudomonadota; Gammaproteobacteria; Enterobacterales; Enterobacteriaceae.
GGGUUGUGAGGUUAAGCGACUAAGCGUACACGGUGGAUGCCCUGGCAGUCAGAGGCGAUGAAGGGCGUGCUAAUCUGCGAUAAGCGCCGGUAAGGUGAUAUGAACCGUUAUAACCGGCGAUACCCGAAUGGGGAAACCCAGUGUGACUCGUCACACUAUCAUUAACUGAAUCCAUAGGUUAAUGAGGCGAACCGGGGGAACUGAAACAUCUAAGUACCCCGAGGAAAAGAAAUCAACCGAGAUUCCCCCAGUAGCGGCGAGCGAACGGGGAGGAGCCCAGAGCCUGAAUCAGCAUGUGUGUUAGUGGAAGCGUCUGGAAAGGCGCGCGAUACAGGGUGACAGCCCCGUACACAAAAGCGCAUGUGCUGUGAGCUCGAUGAGUAGGGCGGGACACGUGGUAUCCUGUCUGAAUAUGGGGGGACCAUCCUCCAAGGCUAAAUACUCCUGACUGACCGAUAGUGAACCAGUACCGUGAGGGAAAGGCGAAAAGAACCCCGGCGAGGGGAGUGAAAAAGAACCUGAAACCGUGUACGUACAAGCAGUGGGAGCACAGGUUUACCUGUGUGACUGCGUACCUUUUGUAUAAUGGGUCAGCGACUUAUAUUCUGUAGCAAGGUUAACCGAAUAGGGGAGCCGUAGGGAAACCGAGUCUUAACCGGGCGUUAAGUUGCAGGGUAUAGACCCGAAACCCGGUGAUCUAGCCAUGGGCAGGUUGAAGGUUGGGUAACACUAACUGGAGGACCGAACCGACUAAUGUUGAAAAAUUAGCGGAUGACCUGUGGCUGGGGGUGAAAGGCCAAUCAAACCGGGAGAUAGCUGGUUCUCCCCGAAAGCUAUUUAGGUAGCGCCUCGUGAACUCAUCUCCGGGGGUAGAGCACUGUUUCGGCUAGGGGGCCAUCCCGGCUUACCAACCCGAUGCAAACUGCGAAUACCGGAGAAUGUUAUCACGGGAGACACACGGCGGGUGCUAACGUCCGUCGUGAAGAGGGAAACAACCCAGACCGCCAGCUAAGGUCCCAAAGUCAUGGUUAAGUGGGAAACGAUGUGGGAAGGCCCAGACAGCCAGGAUGUUGGCUUAGAAGCAGCCAUCAUUUAAAGAAAGCGUAAUAGCUCACUGGUCGAGUCGGCCUGCGCGGAAGAUGUAACGGGGCUAAACCAUGCACCGAAGCUGCGGCAGCGNNNNNNNNNNNNNNNNNNNNNNNNNNNNNNNNNNNNNNNNNNNNNNNNNNNNNNNUGCUGGAGGUAUCAGAAGUGCGAAUGCUGACAUAAGUAACGAUAAAGCGGGUGAAAAGCCCGCUCGCCGGAAGACCAAGGGUUCCUGUCCAACGUUAAUCGGGGCAGGGUGAGUCGACCCCUAAGGCGAGGCCGAAAGGCGUAGUCGAUGGGAAACGGGUUAAUAUUCCCGUACUUGGUGUUACUGCGAAGGGGGGACGGAGAAGGCUAUGUUGGCCGGGCGACGGUUGUCCCGGUUUAAGCGUGUAGGCUGGUUUUCCAGGCAAAUCCGGAAAAUCAAGGCUGAGGCGUGAUGACGAGGCACUACGGUGCUGAAGCAACAAAUGCCCUGCUUCCAGGAAAAGCCUCUAAGCAUCAGGUAACAUCAAAUCGUACCCCAAACCGACACAGGUGGUCAGGUAGAGAAUACCAAGGCGCUUGAGAGAACUCGGGUGAAGGAACUAGGCAAAAUGGUGCCGUAACUUCGGGAGAAGGCACGCUGACACGUAGGUGAAGUGAUUUACUCAUGGAGCUGAAGUCAGUCGAAGAUACCAGCUGGCUGCAACUGUUUAUUAAAAACACAGCACUGUGCAAACACGAAAGUGGACGUAUACGGUGUGACGCCUGCCCGGUGCCGGAAGGUUAAUUGAUGGGGUCAGCGCAAGCGAAGCUCCUGAUCGAAGCCCCGGUAAACGGCGGCCGUAACUAUAACGGUCCUAAGGUAGCGAAAUUCCUUGUCGGGUAAGUUCCGACCUGCACGAAUGGCGUAAUGAUGGCCAGGCUGUCUCCACCCGAGACUCAGUGAAAUUGAACUCGCUGUGAAGAUGCAGUGUACCCGCGGCAAGACGGAAAGACCCCGUGAACCUUUACUAUAGCUUGACACUGAACAUUGAGCCUUGAUGUGUAGGAUAGGUGGGAGGCUUUGAAGUGUGGACGCCAGUCUGCAUGGAGCCGACCUUGAAAUACCACCCUUUAAUGUUUGAUGUUCUAACGUGGACCCGUAAUCCGGGUUGCGGACAGUGUCUGGUGGGUAGUUUGACUGGGGCGGUCUCCUCCUAAAGAGUAACGGAGGAGCACGAAGGUUGGCUAAUCCUGGUCGGACAUCAGGAGGUUAGUGCAAUGGCAUAAGCCAGCUUGACUGCGAGCGUGACGGCGCGAGCAGGUGCGAAAGCAGGUCAUAGUGAUCCGGUGGUUCUGAAUGGAAGGGCCAUCGCUCAACGGAUAAAAGGUACUCCGGGGAUAACAGGCUGAUACCGCCCAAGAGUUCAUAUCGACGGCGGUGUUUGGCACCUCGAUGUCGGCUCAUCACAUCCUGGGGCUGAAGUAGGUCCCAAGGGUAUGGCUGUUCGCCAUUUAAAGUGGUACGCGAGCUGGGUUUAGAACGUCGUGAGACAGUUCGGUCCCUAUCUGCCGUGGGCGCUGGAGAACUGAGGGGGGCUGCUCCUAGUACGAGAGGACCGGAGUGGACGCAUCACUGGUGUUCGGGUUGUCAUGCCAAUGGCACUGCCCGGUAGCUAAAUGCGGAAGAGAUAAGUGCUGAAAGCAUCUAAGCACGAAACUUGCCCCGAGAUGAGUUCUCCCUGAGACUUAGAGUCUCCUGAAGGAACGUUGAAGACGACGACGUUGAUAGGCCGGGUGUGUAAGCGCAGCGAUGCGUUGAGCUAACCGGUACUAAUGAACCGUGAGGCUUAACCUUACAACGCCGAAG